GCCCUCGUAGUUCAAUGGAUAGAAUAGAUCCCUCCUAAGGAUGAGAUGUUGGUUCGAUUCCAACCGAGGGUA
This 72-nucleotide transfer RNA is filed under the name Fidelibacterota bacterium. RNAcentral describes it as "tRNA-Arg". It matches the Rfam family "tRNA". Rfam says of the family: Transfer RNA (tRNA) molecules are approximately 80 nucleotides in length. Their secondary structure includes four short double-helical elements and three loops (D, anti-codon, and T loops). Lineage: Bacteria; Pseudomonadati; Fidelibacterota. The record is from RNAcentral.